UAAAAAUACAGAGUAGAGCGAGCCUGCUUGCCUUGUUUCUGGCCUUUUGGCCUGUUGUUCUAGCAGCUCAGAACUUCCCAUCAUUAUCGCAGAAAUACAACUCUUCCCUUAAAGAGACUGCAAGUUUUAGUGAGGAAAUCUAGCAUACUUACACUUUAUGCGUUUUUUAGGAAUCCAAAGCGAGAAACCUAUUUCGCUCAUUCCUAAGGACCUGACACCAGACACUGCGGGUAUAUGGCCUUGCUCAGCUUCAGCCUCUGAGCAUCCUUGUGGGGAUUUUGUGAAGCCCGCGGGUUUUCUCAGUUUCCGAGGAGAAUUUCAAGGAGAAUUUGAGUAUAAAUUCAAUUCUGCCUCUCAUCCUCAUCCCCGCCCUCUCCCCCGUCCCAUCCGGACCACGGGGAUCUCCCACUUUAGACCCAGAGAAGAGCGGAGUCUGAAGACAAGGAGCUGGAGGCACAGAAGCUGAGGCCAAGGUCAUGACCGCUCACAGGCGGCUGAAGGAGGUGGCAGCUAGGCGCCGCCCUCUGCCCCUGGAGCUGACCUCUGCAUGCCUGGGACCCGCUGACAUCUAGAGCAAGGCUAGGGGAUGGAGAGAGAGCUACAGCUGACCAGUCCUUGAUCCUGUGGAUGCUGAAGCCCACCAAGGGCCUUUAAGGAAGUGUCCUGAAAGGAAGAGCAACGUUAAGCACAGCUGUGCUUCGUAAAAGGUUCUCCCUGGUGUUACUUCUUUCCCUGUUAGAGAUUUGAGAUUGAGAGGCCUGAGUCCUAACGUUUCUGUCUCCCCACCUAUCCCGGAAACCGGAUCUAAUUGUUCACUAAUUCUUCUUCGUUAGUGGGCCCACCACCUCAGCAGCCUGUGCUUGGUGGCUUAGGAUUAUUAGUUUAGAGCAAGUUUAUCAGUCUCCUCAUAGGGAAGAUGUUGUACAAAUUUGAAGUAUUAUUAAGCAGUUAAAAAACCAAAACCAAAACAAACCAGAUAUAAACCCAAACCAAAGAUCAACCAAAAUAAAAAUAAAAACGCCCUCUUUACAGUACAAAAAGAUGUUCAGUGAGCUCACGUUUGCUCAGUCAUUUGAGUCCUUGAACCCUUCAGGAAAACACAGCUCCUCUGGGCCUUCUGGAGGAUGACUUAAUGACACCGCAGUAUAUCACCAGGUUAAUCCAGUAUAUCACCAGGUUUAAAACGUUUUCCAGAGGCAAGGUUCCACAGAAACACCUUUACCAGUAAGGGUGUAAUGUCUGGUUACAGAGAGGGCUGGCUUCAGAAACAGGGAAAGGCUGGAUCCAACCCAACUAAAAACCCUGGCUUCCAACUUUGGAACCACAGUUCUGGGUACUGUUGGCCAUGGAGUGCCACCUUCGGAGCAGACGGGACUGUAGGCUGGGCUGUUUCCCACUGCUUGCUGCAACUCUGCAACAGAUAUUUUCCUCUCCUGUUGAUUGAUUGAUUGACUGAUUGAUUGAUUGAUUGAUUGUAAUCCUUCCUUCUAAUGCCCAGAGUUAAGUUCCCAUCUCCCUGUGUUUGGACCUUUAGUCAGGCCUGCCCCCCACAUAUUUAAGUGUGAUAAGCCAGCAGAAUAUGAACCCAGGAUGUAAUGUUGGUGUAGGGGGAGGGGCAGAGCAGUCUAUCACCUUUAUUUAUUUAUACUCAUCUCUUCAUGGUUUACAAAUGGACUCAAGGGGGAAUGGCAGAGUUUUGUAAUUUCUAAGGCAGGAGAGUUUGUGAAGCCCCUAACAUGGUUCAGACUUCAUGAGUCUAAGAUAACACAAUGCACUAAACCUCCACUCACAUCCUUUUGGCAAACACAACUGAAACUCAACAUUUAUGGUCCUCUGGUGGCUUCUAUGCUGUUGGGUAGCAUCUCUUUAAUUUAUCUCCUUGAAAGAGGACACCAACUUUCACUAAAUCACUAAAUGCCCCCACGCUCCUGGUAAGCUAUAUUCAUGAAGUCUCGGCUACAAGCUUGUUAUUUAACCCUUGGCACAGGUUUCCACCCUGGAAUAGGGAGUGAAGGCUCCAUUUAUGCCUUUGGGGAUAAAAGUACUUUUCAUCCAAUUUACCAAGAAAGGGUACUUGAGUGCAAAGUGGGCAGGGUUGUAGAAGACACAAUCCGUCCAUCAGCUUUGCUAGCAUUGGAAUCUCAACAUGUCCACCAUUCUCUGCAUAAAUGCCUGGGUAGGGUAGUUGUAGGACACACUGCCUUUGUGGUAUCUGUCUUUUUCACCUACCAUCCCUGGGAAUAAGUCACACACUUGCUCCUUUGAAAGAGGCCAAAUACAAUUCCUGCCUCCCAGAGAAUAUUAAAACCACUUCUAUUGGAGUUGCUGCUAGAAGCAAUUGCUUGUAGUUCCAUAAAGGGAAAACACUGUAUUUGUUUGUUUUGUCUUAAGACUCUUGUAGAGUCAAGGCCUGGUGAUAUUCCUGCUGAAGUUAAUGCUAGGGAGAGUGCAGCGCUGGAAUCCCAAGACCAGAGUGUUAAAAUGGAUCCCAAUUUUCUGUUUGUAUAACUGUACUUUCUAUUUGGUUUUUUCCUUUCUUAGAGACCCCACCUCCCAAAGCACAAGAGAUUAAUAGAUACACCCCUACUUUUCUCAAGAAAAAAAAAAAACUGUCGCUAAAUACUGUUGCUACCAAGUGUCACAACGGUACAUACUCCGUUGCCACUGUUUAUUUAAAUUUACCUCCACAGUUCUUUUAUGGACUUGGGAAAGUGUAACAGGUUCUAAUUGGUAGAGGGACAAAUCCGAGUCAGGUGUGUUUUACUUUGUUUUUCCCGAUCAAAGACUCUUGAGUCAAAGAAUAAGCUUUUUGCAGUGUUUUUUUUAAACACUCUUUUUUAGUAGCUGUAGGCUUUCUUCCCUUAGACUUCUAAGAGUCAUCCAGUUCCGCUUUCACUUUUCCUCCUCCCAGCCUCGCUAACCCACUUAACAAUUCUCGGCUUGUCCCAGGCCGCUGGUAGCGAGCAGAGGACCCCCACGACUCCCCUAACCAUAACGCUCAACUUCAGAAGCUCAUAGGAGAAAAUGUCUUCUUCGCGAAGUGCAGUCGGAGCAAAUCAUUCACCUAGAGUUCCCUCCGCAGCUGCUGUAGGAAGGACUUCGGCCGAUCUUCAAGCUGGGACCCGCUCACAGGACUCGUCUGCUGGUGACCGCAGCGGAACAACUCAGGCCGGAGGUUGACGCCUCUCUAUGCGUCCUCCCACCCGCGGGACAUCCCGAUGACCCGGUCACUCAGCGCCAAACAACCAUGGGACUCCACUCUUUUCUUCCUUGCUCUGCUUCGCCUCCCAAAAGUGCUCCCAGCCCAGCUGCGGUGUGAUCACUCCCCAACACCCCAGUCCAUCGUGUACACCUCAACGUGCGCGAGAUGGGGUUCGAAUAUGGGAACUCAACUUUGCCACCAAAAUGCUCAGUGUCAGGACCGGACCAGAGGGAAGAAAGACUGUCAAGAGACUGUACAGAGCGCCGAUACUGGGUCCUGGGGAGGCGGCCCCGUCGGUCCCUAAGCAGGUCCUGCAGGCGCACCCUGCUGCUUUCUCUUGCAAGUCUUUUGAGAGAAGGCAGCUGGUGACCCGGGUCCUUAUCCUUCAAGUUCCCCUGAGUGAAGCAGGGCGCCACCUACAGUCGAGUUCUAACUAGCACGUUGGUGAGAAGGCUGGUGAUCCUUUCUGAAGCAAGGUGGGAUUUUGGGCAUAGCCAUCUCAUCUCUGUAAUCAAUCCAGAUCAACAGGUCGGUUGGCAGGCAGCAGCAGACUAGACCACACUGCAAAUGUGCUUUGGGGGUGUGCAGAAGUUGGGAAACAGACCAGUACUAGCUCUGAUUGGACUUGUUCGUGCUCUAAUGGUUUGGCUGGUUUUUGUUUGUUUGUUUGUUUGUUUUUGAUCCCAGUAUCUCCUCCAGGUUUCAGCCAAGGAGAGCAGCAGUCAGUUUCCUUAGGAAGACUAUCUGUGUGACCUUGGACAAGUCGCUCCGUCAUUCACUCUCCCCUUUCUACCCCUUCAGAACUAUAACUGUGAUAGUUUUUUUUUCUAAAUUAAUGAGAUAAAGUAGGCGAGAAACUGCACAUGCUAAGAGCUCCCACCUAUUUCUAAAAGGGGAAAAAAAUCUUCCGAGAAAUAAAACAUUAAAGACAUUG
Molecule: long non-coding RNA, 4136 nt
Organism: Mastomys coucha (southern multimammate mouse)
Lineage: Eukaryota; Metazoa; Chordata; Mammalia; Rodentia; Muridae
Exons: 2
Source: RefSeq, a predicted model, not a curated record